GUUCUCUCAGGAACUAGAAGAGUCCACCGAACAGAGGAGACAUAUGUAGGUUUAGGCCACAAAAUAGGCUUCAAGAUAACCUGAGUUUAUCCUAGCUUUCAAGAUAAUCUAUCUCUGCUUCUGAACAUAGUAGUUGUGGUGAAGAUGAUUAAAAGCCAGAAGGAAUAAUAUGAGAACCUUCAGCAUGGAUAUAUAAAAUGAUACACAAUUCUAGGUCAGUAAAAAUUAUAAAGGCUGUUCAGAUAUAAAGGGAGAAAGGCUGUGAAAGGACAUGCUUGUAUGGAUCACCUGGGACAAAAACUCAGAGAUGGAGGAGAUAAUAAGGCUGAACAGCACAGUACAGGAGUCCAGGCAUUUUCUUAUCAACACAACAGCUACACUUAUUCCACCUCCAUGGAUUGAAUUCAUUACAGGACAGCAGUGCUGAUAAGUUGACACAUAUAGAUUAUCAGUGAAUCAGAGCUACUGUAAAACUUUCUGUCCAGCAUAAUAAUAAAGAAAUGCCAAAUUUGUGUUGUGCAAAAUUUGUUUGUGAAAUCCUGGAUCUAAUAGUCCAGUGAACAAGUCUUGACUCAGUUAAAGAAAUAAGAAGAAAAGAAGCUUUGAUCCUCUAAGCUACCAUUGUUGUGAGCACAUCACAGGAAAGCAACUUGGGGAUUCUCUUCUGUGUUUAAAACUUAUUCUGUUGCCCAACCUAGUUCCCUUGAGACUCAGAAUGUGCAGAGUUGCUGAGAUGAGGCAGCUGGACAGCUGUGUAUAACUCUGCUGCUGAUUUGCAUGCACCAACAGUACAGCCCAGUGUGCUCAGGAAUUCUUCAUAGGCUGCUCACAUUAGGCAGUAGUCAGUCCAAGUCAGCACACAGCAUGGACAUGAGGACCCCUGCUCAGCUCCUGGGGAUCCUGCUGCUCUGGCUCCCAGGUGUCAAGUGUGACAUCCAGAUGACCCAGUCUCCAUCUUCACUAUCUGUGUCUCUAGGAGACACUGCCACCAUCACUUGCAGGGCCAGUGAGGACAUUGGGUAUGUUUUAGCCUGGUACCAGCAGCAACCAGGAAAAGCUCCUAAACCCUUGAUCUUUGAUGCAGAUAGUCAGGCGACCGGAGUUCCAUCAAGGUUCAGUGGGAGUGGGAGUCAAUCUGGGACAGAGUUCACUCUCAGGAUCAGUGGCCUGGAGCCCGAAGAUGUUGCCACUUAUUACUGUCAACAGGGUAGCAGUUUGCCUCCCACAGUGAUACAAAGCAUAACAAAAACCUCCCAGGGAAGCUGAAGUGUGAGUCUGGGCUGCCCCAGCUGCUCCUCCUGCUGCCUCCACCUGCUCAGAACGUUGUCAGAAAAAGCCAGUUAAU
Molecule: non-coding RNA, 1345 nt
Organism: Dipodomys spectabilis (banner-tailed kangaroo rat)
Lineage: Eukaryota; Metazoa; Chordata; Mammalia; Rodentia; Heteromyidae
Source: the annotation of a RefSeq genome assembly